This 343-nucleotide ribosomal RNA is filed under the name uncultured rhodophyte. RNAcentral's name for it is "SSU rRNA". It matches the Rfam family "Eukaryotic small subunit ribosomal RNA", at positions 576 to 926 of the family's 1831-position model. Lineage: Eukaryota; Rhodophyta. The record is from RNAcentral.
GCGGUAAUUCCAGCUCUGUAAGCGUAUACCAAAGUUGUUGCAGUUAAAACGCUCGUAGUCGGAUUUUGGCGUGGUACUUCUGAGACCCCUGAUUGGGUGUUGAAGGCAGUCCCGCCUUUGUGGAUGGGGGCGUGGUGGUGAUUUACUUCAUUGCUGCGUUUUCGCCACUGUUUACUGUGAAAAAAUUAGAGUGUUCAAAGCGAGCGAUUGCCAUGAAUAUAUUAGCAUGGAAUAAUAGAAUAGGACCUGAUCCUGUUUUGUUGGUUUGUCAGUAUUGGGUAAUGAUUAAGAGGGACGGUCGGGGGCAUUUGUAUUCCAGGGUUAGAGGUGAAAUUCUCGGAUU